CAGCCGCCGCGGUAAUACGUAGGGUGCAAGCGUUAAUCGGAAUUACUGGGCGUAAAGCGUGCGCAGGCGGUUAUAUAAGACAGAUGUGAAAUCCCCGGGCUCAACCUGGGAACUGCAUUUGUGACUGUAUAGCUAGAGUACGGCAGAGGGGGAUGGAAUUCCGCGUGUAGCAGUGAAAUGCGUAGAUAUGCGGAGGAACACCGAUGGCGAAGGCAAUCCCCUGGGCCUGUACUGACGCUCAUGCACGAAAGCGUGGGGAGCAAACAGGAUUAGAUACCCGCGUAGUCCCUGUCUCUUACAC
Molecule: ribosomal RNA, 301 nt
Filed under: uncultured bacterium
Lineage: Bacteria
Description: partial 16S ribosomal RNA
Rfam family: Bacterial small subunit ribosomal RNA
Source: RNAcentral